Long non-coding RNA from Girardinichthys multiradiatus, 722 nucleotides. RefSeq lists it as uncharacterized. The record is from RefSeq and is a predicted model, not a curated record. The transcript is spliced from 4 exons. NCBI's taxonomy places the organism in Eukaryota, Metazoa, Chordata, Actinopteri, Cyprinodontiformes, Goodeidae.
UACAGAAUGUCAAGAGACAAUUAUCUUUGAGGUCUCUCAAAGAUGACUUCUUGGCACAUUUAUCUUUAAGCUCAAGUGCUGCCAAAUAGAAACAUUUUUCGGACAAUUUUCCACAGAUAUGCCUGAAGUGAGCGACUGGUCAGCAGUCACUCAUAAAGCAACAGCAAACAUUUUUGAGUUUGACUCUUCUAGUCCAUAACUGUCCAACUUGGGGAUGGCUGUGUUGCUUAGUAACCAUAGAACAUGAGUGACCUUAUUGGGUGGCUCUGGGCAGGCAGAAUACACAGCUGGUGCUCAUCAGUCAUCGGGAGAGUAUAAAGAGGAGCUGAGUCCCUGAGAUAAUUCUCACUCACAGUGUGAGCUGUAACCUCCUCCUCAAGUGUGUGUUCUUCGAAUUCCAGUUUGGAGGCCUCACCUGCGUUCGAUCUCACGACAUUUGCCUUCAGUCGUCCUCAGAAGGUACAUCUCCUUCACUGUGGAUCAGUAGUCCACCACCGGAGAACGCUACACACUGGCUCCAAUCACUGCUUGCCUGUCCACCCUCGACACUGGCUGUCCUAAGGAAACACCAUCACCCACAGAGAUGUCUCGGAGCUGAUCUCGGAACUGAUCUCAACCAUCAUGGAGACACUUGCCCUCCUUGAAGAUUUCCAGAAGCCUCCCUGAUCUGAAGAGAUCCACCAUGAUAUCAUUGCAAAAACUAAAUAAACCCUUUAACUGAU